RNAcentral lists this ribosomal RNA (614 nucleotides) under Cytospora pruinosa. Its description in RNAcentral is "partial large subunit ribosomal RNA". It matches the Rfam family "Eukaryotic large subunit ribosomal RNA", at positions 1 to 665 of the family's 3401-position model. Lineage: Eukaryota; Fungi; Ascomycota; Sordariomycetes; Diaporthales; Cytosporaceae. The record is from RNAcentral.
UACUUUGUUUUUGGUUACGGAGGAAAAGAAACCAACAGGGAUUGCCCUAGUAACGGCGAGUGAAGCGGCAACAGCUCAAAUUUGAAAGCUGGCUCCGGCCCGCAUUGUAAUUUGCAGAGGAUGCUUCUGGCAAGGUGCCUUCCGAGUUCCCUGGAACGGGACGCCAUAGAGGGUGAGAGCCCCGUAUGGAUGGACACCAAGCCUGUGUGAAGCUCCUUCAACGAGUCGAGUAGUUUGGGAAUGCUGCUCAAAAUGGGAGGUAAAUCUCUUCUAAAGCUAAAUACCGGCCAGAGACCGAUAGCGCACAAGUAGAGUGAUCGAAAGAUGAAAAGCACCUUGAAAAGGGGGUUAAACAGUACGUGAAAUUGUUGAAAGGGAAGCGCUUGUGACCAGACUUGCGCCGGGCGGCUCAUCAGGGGUUCUCCCCUGUGCACUCCGCCCGGCUCAGGCCAGCAUCGGUUCUCGUGGGGGGAUAAGAACGGUGGGAACGUGGCCCCCCUCCGGGGGGGUGUUAUAGCCCGCCGUACGAUACUCUCGCGGGGACCGAGGUUCGCGCUCCGCAAGGAUGCUGGCGUAAUGGUCAUCAGCGACCCGUCUGAAAUCUCAACCACAGC